This 72-nucleotide transfer RNA is filed under the name Eulacestoma nigropectus (wattled ploughbill). Its description in RNAcentral is "tRNA-Ile". The record is from RNAcentral. Lineage: Eukaryota; Metazoa; Chordata; Aves; Passeriformes.
GGAAAUGUGCCUGAAUGCCAAAGGAUCACUAUGAUAAAGUGAGCAUGGAGGUGACCAAUCCUCUCAUUUCCU